This 409-nucleotide ribosomal RNA is filed under the name bacterium enrichment culture clone ALO1_GLFRUDD03G0OQ5. Its description in RNAcentral is "bacterial SSU rRNA". It matches the Rfam family "Bacterial small subunit ribosomal RNA", at positions 9 to 420 of the family's 1533-position model. The record is from RNAcentral.
GAGUUUGAUCUUGGCUCAGAUUGAACGCUGGCGGCAUGCCUUACACAUGCAAGUCGAACGGCAGCACGGGAGCUUGCUCCUGGUGGCGAGUGGCGAACGGGUGAGUAAUGCAUCGGAACGUAUCCUGGAGUGGGGGAUAACGUAGCGAAAGUUACGCUAAUACCGCAUAUUCUGUGAGCAAGGAAAGCGGGGGGCCUUCGGGCCUCGCGCUCUUGGAGCGGCCGAUGUCGGAUUAGCUAGUUGGUGAGGUAAAGGCUCACCAAGGCGACGAUCCGUAGCAGGUCUGAGAGGAUGAUCUGCCACACUGGAACUGAGACACGGUCCAGACUCCUACGGGAGGCAGCAGUGGGAAUUUGGACAAUGGGGCAACCCUGAUCCAGCCAUGCCGCGUGAGUGAAGAAGGCCUCGG